This 271-nucleotide long non-coding RNA is filed under the name Elaeis guineensis (African oil palm). RNAcentral's name for it is "long non-coding RNA (EGUI_LNC061251)". Lineage: Eukaryota; Viridiplantae; Streptophyta; Magnoliopsida; Arecales; Arecaceae. The record is from RNAcentral.
UAUAAUAAUGGCUAGUUUUUAUCUCUAACAGUGAGUUCAGCUCUUUCAAUGGCUAAAACUUAUUCUCCAACAACUCUCAAAUCUAUUAAAAGCUAGAGAAUCAUUUGGAUAAGCCAAGAGGAUUUAAGAGUGAAAUAUAUCAAAUUGAGUGAGCAUCAUUGAAUAUCAUUAGAAAUGGAGAAAAGUUGUGCACAGACUUCAAAGAGCUUUUAAGAGUGAUUUAUAUUGCUUUCAUUAUAUCAAUUCUGUUGCAACAUAUUUCAUACACCAC